Seriola dumerili (greater amberjack) is the source of this 1367-nucleotide long non-coding RNA. RefSeq lists it as uncharacterized. The record is from RefSeq and is a predicted model, not a curated record. The transcript has 3 exons. Lineage: Eukaryota; Metazoa; Chordata; Actinopteri; Carangiformes; Carangidae.
GUCUCUCUCUGACAACUGUUCCCAUCGCUGUGUCAAACCAUCAGAACACAUGGCAGUGUCUGUGUGUGCUGGCUCUCUGCCAUGUGGCAGACUCACACAGUCGCACUGUGACUGUUGGCAUUGUGGUCGCCUCAGGAGGACGUUGAGUCUCAUGAGCACGGGCAUUGUGAAGCAAGAGACACACGACAUUAUCACUGUGCGCCAGAGGAGCAGAAGUUGCAGCACUUCGAGACCCAAGUCAGGAGUGCUCUGACAAAUUGUAUAGAGACAAAGCAGCUCUGCAGCUGCAGGACUGAGACUGAGCUGCUGUCCGUCUCUCAUGGCAACCCCAGACGGGAAAAGGAACCGCCCAGCCCAUUGGUGCCAGGGUGAUAUCAUCUGAUCAUCAACCUCAAACAUGGGCUCUGAGCCACACAGUGCAUUUUCAUAUAGUGGAAGGUCUUCAUCCUUCACUUUCCCCCUUUUAUAUUCAGAGCAUUUUUUCUGCAAAUAUUGAUCCUGCAGAACAAGUGAAAUUAGCUUGUCAUAUAAAAUGGGAAGUUGUGGGCAUUAUAUAGCUGAAUGGAAGCCAAGUAAAUUAGACUUAUUAACUUGAAUCAGUAAAAUCCUUUUUUUUUUCAACCUCAAGCUGAAUGUAUCUCCUCUUAUUGAUGCAGUCCAUUAGUUGUAAUAGUAGUCUGUCUGUGGAGUAUCAGUUGUCAUCCUACUUGUGCUUGAGUGCUCUUAAUUCCCUGCAGAGCCCAUCUGGACAAGCAUCUUUUCAACCAAUAUGACAAGGCACUACAAUGCAAAAUUUACAGGCGGGCAUCACGCAAGCUGGACAUUUAUGCAAUCAUUUCAAUUACUCCUGAAUUAACGUCUAUAUUCCCAACCCUGCUGCAGCAUAUUUAAUCAAAGUAGUCAAGCAAUGACAUGCCAGUGCAUUUACAUGAAGAAUUUCAAUGACAUAGAUCAAUGCAGAAUGUAAAAUAAUUAAAAAAAUAAAGUCUAAUUACAUAAAUGAAUAGCAGAGGACUUGCGAUCUUUGCCAAAACAGGAAUUGAUGUCCUCGUUUAACCUUAUUUUCCCUCUUCCAACACACAAUCAUUAAGAAACUAAACAAAGUAUGUGCUUGAGUUUGCAGAGGGGAUGCAAUGGAUUAAAUAUCCUCCACUCCAGCGCUCUGAAAAAAAAAAUAAAAUCCACAUUUCUCUUUUGAAGAACAAAUUAGAAAUGGGUCUCUGAAUGUCUGUGAAUAUCUGUGUAGGAGUGAGUGUGAGAAAGACAGACAACAUUAAUUUCUUUGUUGUAUCUUUGUUCUGCAUGUGCACAAGAGUGUUAACAUAAUAUUCCCACGAAGAAAGAAAAAACUGUAACCAUGUGUCACC